GACGAACGCUGGCGGCAUGCCUAACACAUGCAAGUCGAACGAACCCUUCGGGUCUUUUCGCGCCCGGCUGUGUCACGCGUCGGGACCUGCCUUUUGGUUCGCCUUCCCUUAAAGCUGUUUUAGCUAAUGCCAGCUGAUGUUUUUGCACCAAAGUUUUAUCGCCUUUAGAUGGGCGUGCGUUGGAUUAGCUUUUUUGUGGGUUAUAGGCAUACCAUCGCCACGUUGCAUAGUUGGUAUGAGAGGAGGUUCACCGACACUGGGAGUGAGACACGGCCCAGACUCCUACGGGAGGGAGGAGAGGGGAAUAGAGGACAAUGGGGGAAAGGCUGAACCAGCAAUGACGCGAGAGUGAUGAAGGCAUUAGGGUAGUAAAGCUCUUUUAACCGAGAUGAUAAUGACAGUAUCGGGAGAAUAAGCACCGGCUAACUACGUG
Molecule: ribosomal RNA, 433 nt
Filed under: uncultured bacterium
Lineage: Bacteria
Description: partial 16S ribosomal RNA
Rfam family: Bacterial small subunit ribosomal RNA
Source: RNAcentral